Molecule: ribosomal RNA, 2890 nt
Filed under: Triticum aestivum (bread wheat)
Lineage: Eukaryota; Viridiplantae; Streptophyta; Magnoliopsida; Poales; Poaceae
Description: partial small subunit ribosomal RNA
Source: RNAcentral
CUACGGGAUUCGUGGUGGCAAGUUUUGUUGUAAGGGAAGACAGACAGUUUUCCUAUUUGUUGUGCGGGGGAGGGGAGCGCAUAGAGAGCUCUGACUUCCGAAGCCGCCGCGCUCGCGGCUGGGGCUGGGGCUGGGGCCGGUUCUAGGGCCGCCGGGAAAGGAGGUCUGCAUCGAAGAGGGUGCCCGGAGCCAGGUAUGGCGGCGGGGUCGGAAGAGUUGGGCAGCCGCGGCGGCGUCAGGAAUAGCGGCGGCGUCGAAAGAGUGCGGCAGCCGCGACGGAGUCGGGUGGCGGCGGCUGCAACGAAGAGGGUGCCGGGGGGAAGAGGCCGCGUUGGCCAUAAGGCCGUAAGAUAGGCCAUUCCUAGUGGAGGGGGAGGGGGGAGGGAGGAAAAGGGGAUCCCAAAGCAACAGCUGCAACCAGAGUGGUAACCGCGCCGGUUAUUAACCACCUAAAGCCGAACUAUUAAAAUCCUAAAGUAAUCAAAAUCCCAAUAAGACAUUCUAGGCGGGUGUCAAAAACUCCCAACAGGCAAUUCCCGAGUUCAAACACGGUGACUGGGCUAGUUAACUGGUUUCGCUUCCCAGACCAAUAGAAUUUAAAGUGGUGGUGUUUGUUUUUGUAUGGUCGUCAAACCUCUAACCGGUCCGUACAACAUAUAAUCAUUGAUGGUGGUCAUAAAGCGAGUAUUCCAAAUCUAAUUAGGUAAAAAUAAACACGUAAUCAUAAAAUAAUCGUCAUAGGGUGUGGGAUAGACAUCAAAAACGGAAAAACCCUCGGGGAUAGGACCGUGAUGUAUAAACAACACUAACUCGACUAGCAGGAGAAGUUGUUGAAGAGAAUACCCAGAUCGGACGGCUCACCUUCUGAACCCUGUUCUAUUACCGUUCGGAACGACUAAGAAAGAACCGACUAGAACUACUUGAAAGUCUGUUACUUCGGAUGGGACUUCUUCUGUUACGACUCCGUCACCCAUACCUACUCCUACCACUGCUACUAUACGGACUAGAACUCAGAGAAUUAAUACUACUAGAACUGUCGCAGAGCUUUGACGUCUUCUGUGUUGCAAUAAGACUGUAUUACGUUUUUCAACUUCCUCGUGAACUCUUUCUGUGUAUAAACAGAUUAGUUCCAAAGUAGGACCUCCUCCUAGGUCUCAUGGUCGAAUAACAUCUAACGUUACGGAAUAGUCAUCUAUAACUCUUACUCGAGUAAUAUUAUGUAUUAAAGUAGGCACUGUUCAUAUCCGACUUCAAAGGACUUGACCUUAGGGAACAAGUAGUAGGCUAACUAAUACGGGCACAACAAUUCUUCUAACGUUUACUCCACCUAUAUUGUGAUCAUCUAGACCUUCCCGAGAACGGAAGACGUCAAUAUUACCAACAGAGACACUGUCGUAGCUGUUGAUCACCCUUCGGAGAAAGAGUCCUCUUAAACCAUUUUUGGUAACUUCGUACACUGUCUCGGGAAUUAGAACUACGACGUUUCUUCUUCCACGAACUAAAACAUCUCCCAUUUUACCCAAUGUAGCGUGGUUUGGAUAGACGUUAACAACCGUCACGACAACGACGUUUUAACUACCCUUAACGACCACCAAACCCUCGUGAACGUUUUUACGGACGAACGUUACAAGUCGAUGAACCUCGUUUCUUCUUUUUAGAACGACCUAAAAGAUCACGGUGUAGAGUCAAAGCACAACCGAUAGAACUUGUUCGGCUUCAUAAAGUCUCGUGGGGAGGUCGAGACUCCUGGGCACGAACGUCCCAAUAUCGACGUUUCCGUUGAGAUCGUCGUUCUUAACUAAGUUGAUCUCCACUAGGUUGACCUUUUCGACCGGCGUUGAACAAUCUUCUUUAAGCGUUCUUCUAGCUCUUCACCGUUCUUGGUGGAGGACGUUUCGAAGGUUUUGGUGAAGGACAAGGUCUAAGGCUCGGAUUUUUCUUCUCUCCACCAGCGGCGGAAGCUUUUUACUUUCUUUCUAUACGCCACUGACUAUACUACUUCGAACGUUUGGCUUACGUCAAACCGUAUGGUCUCCUCUCGAGUAAUCCACUACCAAACCCCCUUCCAAUACCUUACGAACCCGUCCGGCCUUCACCCUUUGAUGCACAGAGUCGACGCGUUUUGUUUGAACGACGAUUUCACCGGUUCUUUAAGUUCCUCUCCUCAAUACCAUCACCGCCACGUUGUAGACCUGACUGUAGAUCAAACCGGAAAUGUGGUCAAGUCCCUUAUCUCGACAGUUUGGGUGUACGGGUCCCCUUGGAAGAACCUUCACCUUGGGUCUCGUGCAUAAAGAGGCUCUGCCCGUGUAAAAGAGCCUAGGUGUUAUCCGGUACUGGCUCGAACCUUAGACUUCUACUUUUCCCGGACUCCAAUCUUCUCCCCCAGCAAAGAGCCAGGGUCGCUAAGGUAGAGUAAGACGCGUGUGGUGAGUUCUCAAGAACCCUAAGUACGUGAGCGUGUCUUAGUCGAACAUAAGAGUCAACAUAGCGCCCCAAAGGAUUACAUUCAUGUCUUUCGCGUGAUGUUGUAGUGUUCCAGACUUCAGUCCGUCAUGGGUUGCAAUGGUUACGAAGCUCGCAGCUAUUAGAAAGAUCUUUUGGGCGACCUUAACUUAACAACUUAACAGAACGGACUUUGUAGGCGGUACGACCUAGUAAGGUAUGGUGUUACACUCAACUCGAGAUUUGCUCAUGAGGGAGGCAUUUCUUUAUAUUCUCGCAAAUCUAAUGAUUUCAUCACUAGAUUUGUGAGAAUAUAAACAAAUGUCUCCCUCAUGAACACUAAAGAAAAAAGCUACCUAUACUAACGUCAAGACGAGGUAGCCGGAAACCAUUACCGUCCAGGAUUAAUUUGUACUAGUACUGUCAAUGUUUCCUUGUUGCGGUC